This 76-nucleotide transfer RNA is filed under the name Bacilli bacterium. RNAcentral's name for it is "tRNA-Met". It matches the Rfam family "tRNA". From Rfam's summary of the family: Transfer RNA (tRNA) molecules are approximately 80 nucleotides in length. Their secondary structure includes four short double-helical elements and three loops (D, anti-codon, and T loops). Further hydrogen bonds mediate the characteristic L-shaped molecular structure. tRNAs have two regions of fundamental functional importance: the anti-codon, which is responsible for specific mRNA codon recognition, and the 3' end, to which the tRNAs corresponding amino acid is attached (by aminoacyl-tRNA synthetases). tRNAs cope with the degeneracy of the genetic code in two manners: having more than one tRNA (with a specific anti-codon) for a particular amino acid; and 'wobble' base-pairing, i.e. permitting non-standard base-pairing at the 3rd anti-codon position. The record is from RNAcentral. Lineage: Bacteria; Bacillati; Bacillota; Bacilli.
AGCUUAGUAGUUCAACUGGCUAGAACGCUCGACUCAUAUCCGAGAAAUACAGGUUCGAGUCCUGUCUUAGCUACCA